Molecule: ribosomal RNA, 868 nt
Filed under: uncultured archaeon
Lineage: Archaea
Description: bacterial SSU rRNA
Rfam family: Archaeal small subunit ribosomal RNA
Source: RNAcentral
AUCCUGCCGGAGGCCACUGCUAUCAGAGUUCGAUUAAGCCAUGCGAGUCGAGAGGUGCAAGACCUCGGCAUACUGCUCAGUAACACGUGGACAACCUACCCUGCAGAGGGGGAUAACCCCGGGAAACUGGGGAUAAUACCCCAUAGACUAUAGAUGCUGGAAUGCUUUGUAGUUGAAAGGUCCGCCGCCAUAGGAUGGGUCUGCGGCCGAUUAGGUUGUUGUUGGGGUAACGGCCCAACAAGCCUGUAAUCGGUACGGGUUGUGGGAGCAAGAGCCCGGAGAUGGAUUCUGAGACACGAAUCCAGGCCCUACGGGGCGCAGCAGGCGCGAAAACUUUACAAUGCGGGAAACCGUGAUAAGGGAACUCCGAGUGCCCGUAAAAUCGGGCUGUCCAUCUGUUUAAAUAACAGGUGAAGAAAGGGCCGGGCAAGACCGGUGCCAGCCGCCGUGGUAAUACCGGCGGCUCGAGUGGUGGCCACUAUUACUGGGCUUAAAGCGUUCGUAGCUGGUCUGUUAAGUCUCUGGGGAAAUCUACUGGCUUAACCAAUAGGCGUCUCAGGGAUACUGGCAGACUAGGGACCGGGAGAGGUGAGAGGUACUCCAGGGGUAGGAGUGAAAUCCUGUAAUCCUUGGGGGACCACCUGUGGCGAAGGCGUCUCACCAGAACGGCUCCGACAGUGAGGGACGAAAGCUGGGGGAGCAAACCGGAUUAGAUACCCGGGUAGUCCCAGCCGUAAACGAUGCGCGUUAGGUGUAUCGGUGACCACGAGUCACCGACGUGCCGAAGAGAAAUCGUGAAACGUGCCGCCUGGGAAGUACGGUCGCAAGGCUGAAACUUAGAGGAAUUGGCGGGGGAGCACCACAACGG